GACGAACGCUGGCGGCGUGCUUAACACAUGCAAGUCGAGCGGUUCGACGUUUGACACUGGGUAUUUAUUUGUUAGCAGACAGCGUCUAGUACUGAAAGUGCUACACGCGUUCAUAAAAUGAUAACACAUGAGUGCUGAGUGUUGAACGUCGGAUAGCGGCGGACGGGUGAGUAACGCGUGGGCAACCUGCCUUAAACAGGGGGAUAACACUGGGAAACUAGUGCUAAUACCGCAUAAUCUUUUUCCAGAACAUUCUGGGAUUAGCAAAGGAGCAAUCCGGUUUAAGAUGGGCCCGCGUCCGAUUAGCUAGUUGGUGAGGUAACGGCCCACCAAGGCGACGAUCGGUAGCCGAACUGAGAGGUUGAUCGGCCACAUUGGGACUGAGACACGGCCCAGACUCCUACGGGAGGCAGCAGUGGGGAAUAUUGCACAAUGGGGGAAACCCUGAUGCAGCAACGCCGCGUGAAGGAUGAAGGUUUUCGGAUUGUAAACUUCUUUGAUGAGGGACGAAAAAUGACGGUACCUCAAAAACAAGCCACGGCUAACUACGUGCCAGCAGCCGCGGUAAUACGUAGGUGGCGAGCGUUGUCCGGAAUUACUGGGUGUAAAGGGCGUGUAGGCGGGGAUGUAAGUCAGAUGUGAAAUUCCAUGGCUCAACUGUGGCGCUGCAUCUGAAACUAUGUCUCUUGAGUGCUGGAGAGGAAAGCGGAAUUCCUAGUGUAGCGGUGAAAUGCGU
Molecule: ribosomal RNA, 736 nt
Filed under: uncultured Eubacteriales bacterium
Lineage: Bacteria; Bacillati; Bacillota; Clostridia; Eubacteriales
Description: bacterial SSU rRNA
Rfam family: Bacterial small subunit ribosomal RNA
Source: RNAcentral